CUGACGGAGAAGGUUAGGUCAGCCGGGUGUUGGACGUCCCGGUUCAAGCGUGUAGUCGUGCCUGGUAGGCAAAUCCGCCGGGCUUAGAUGAGGCGUGAUAACGAGUGGUCUUGUACCGCGAAGUGAUUGAUACCCUGCUUCCAAGAAAAGCCUCUAAGCUUCAGUUAUGAAGAGACCGUACCGCAAACCGACACAGGUGGGCAGGAUGAGAAUUCUAAGGCGCUUGAGAGAACUCAGGAGAAGGAACUCGGCAAAUUAGCACCGUAACUUCGGGAUAAGGUGCGCCCUGGUAGAUUGAAGGCCCUCGCGGCUGGAGGUCGAAAGGGUUGCAGUGAAAUGGUGGCUGCGACUGUUUAAUAAAAACACAGCACUCUGCAAACACGAAAGUGGACGUAUAGGGUGUGACGCCUGCCCGGUGCCGGAAGGUUAAGUGAUGGGGUGCAAGCUCUUGAUCGAAGCCCCGGUAAACGGCGGCCGUAACAAUAACGGUCCUAAGGUAGCGAAAUUCCUUGUCGGGUAAGUUCCGACCUGCACGAAUGGCGUAAUGAUGGCCACACUGUCUCCUCCUGAGACUCAGCGAAGUUGAAAUGUUUGUGAAGAUGCAAUCUCCCCGCGGCAAGACGGAAAGACCCCAUGAACCUUUACUGUAGCUUUGCAUUGGACUUUGAACCGGUCUGUGUAGGAUAGGUGGGAGGCUUUGAAGCGUGGACGCUAGUUCGCGUGGAGCCAACCUUGAAAUACCACCCUGGUUUGUUUGAGGUUCUAACCAUGGCCCGUGAAUCCGGGUCUGGGACCGUGCAUGGUAGGCAGUUUGACUGGGGCGGUCUCCUCCCAAAGCGUAACGGAGGAGUACGAAGGUACGCUAGGUACGGUCGGACAUCGUGCUAAUAGUGCAAUGGCAUAAGCGUGCUUGACUGCGAGACUCACACGUCGAGCAGGUACGAAAGUAGGUCAUAGUGAUCCGGUGGUUCUGUAUGGAAGGGCCAUCGCUCAACGGAUAAAAGGUACUCUGGGGAUAACAGGCUUAUACCGCCCAAGAAUUCAUAUCGACGGCGGUGUUUGGCACCUCGAUGUCGGCUCAUCACAUCUUGGGGCUGUAGCCGGUCCCAAGGGUAUGGCUGUUCGCCAUUUAAAGUGGUACGUGAGCUGGGUUUAAAACGUCGUGAGACAGUUUGGUCCCUAUCUGCCGUGGGCGCUGGAAAUUUGAAGGGACCUGCUCCUAGUACGAGAGGACCGGAGUGGACGAACCUCUGGUGUACCGGUUAUGACGCCAGUCGUAUCGCCGGGUAGCUAAGUUCGGAAGAGAUAAACGCUGAAAGCAUCUAAGCGUGAAACUCGCCUUAAGAUAAGAUUUCCCUGGGGACUCGAUCCCCCUGAAGGGUCGUCGAAGACCACGACGUUGAUAGGCUGGGUGUGGAAGCGCAGUAAUGCGUUAAGCUAACCAGU
RNAcentral lists this ribosomal RNA (1446 nucleotides) under metagenome. RNAcentral's name for it is "bacterial LSU rRNA". It matches the Rfam family "Bacterial large subunit ribosomal RNA", at positions 1469 to 2899 of the family's 2925-position model. The record is from RNAcentral.